Molecule: ribosomal RNA, 389 nt
Filed under: uncultured bacterium
Lineage: Bacteria
Description: bacterial SSU rRNA
Rfam family: Bacterial small subunit ribosomal RNA
Source: RNAcentral
GAUGAACGCUAGCGGCAGGCCUAAUACAUGCAAGUCGAACGAUAGUCUUGUCUUCGGAUGAGAUGAGAGUGGCGCACGGGUGAGUAACGCGUACACGACCUACCUUACAGAGGGGGAUAGCCUUGGGAAACUGGGAGUAAUCCGCCAUAGUGUAUAUGAUCUGCAUGGAUGGUAUACUAAAGCUUCGGCGCUGUAAGAUGGGUGUGCGUCUGAUUAGGUAGUUGGUAGGGUAAGGGCCUACCAAGGCGACGAUCAGUAGGGGGCGUGAGAGCGUGAUCCCCCACACGGGUACUGAGACACGGUCCCGACUCCUACGGGGGGCAGCAGUGAGGAAUAUUGGGCAAUGGGCGCAAGCCUGACCCAGCAACGCCGCGUGGAGGAAGACGGCC